RNAcentral lists this ribosomal RNA (219 nucleotides) under Evandromyia monstruosa. Its description in RNAcentral is "partial 16S ribosomal RNA". Lineage: Eukaryota; Metazoa; Arthropoda; Insecta; Diptera; Psychodidae. The record is from RNAcentral.
GAUUUUUAUAUAUUAUUUAAUCGAAUAAAAAUUAGUUAUUUAUUAUUUUAGAUUGAUUAUAUAUUUUAUUGGGGUAAUAUUAAAAUUUAAAUAAUUUUUAAUUAAGGUUAAACAAUUAUUAGUGAUUUAGUGAUCCAGUAAUAUUGAUUAAAAGAAUAAGUUACCUUAGGGAUAACAGCAUAAUGAUUUUUGAGAGUUCUUAUUGAUAAAAUAGUUUGU